This 296-nucleotide ribosomal RNA is filed under the name uncultured bacterium. RNAcentral's name for it is "partial 16S ribosomal RNA". It matches the Rfam family "Bacterial small subunit ribosomal RNA", at positions 35 to 322 of the family's 1533-position model. The record is from RNAcentral.
GCUAGCGGCAGGCCUAAUACAUGCAAGUCGAGGGGCAGCACGAGUAUUUCGGUCUUGGUGGCGACCGGCGGACGGGUGCGUAACGCGUAUGUAACCUGUCCAGAACCGGGGGAUAGGCUGUGGAAACACGGAUUAAAACCCCGUAACACACUCAUACCGCAUGGUAUGGGGGGUUAAAGCCCGCAAGGGUGGUUUUGGGUGGGCAUGCGUCUGAUUAGCCAGUUGGUGAGGUAACGGCUCACCAAGGCGACGAUCAGUAGGGGGUCUGAGAGGAUGAUCCCCCACACUGGAACUGA